AAUGGGGGCAACCCUGAUCCAGCCAUGCCGCGUGAGUGAUGAAGGCCUUAGGGUCGUAAAGCUCUUUCAGCUGGGAAGAUAAUGACGGUACCAGCAGAAGAAGCCCCGGCUAACUCCGUGCCAGCAGCCGCGGUAAUACGGAGGGGGCUAGCGUUGUUCGGAAUUACUGGGCGUAAAGCGCGCGUAGGCGGGCUGUUAAGUCGGGGGUGAAAUCCCGGGGCUCAACCCCGGAACUGCCUCCGAUACUGGCAGCCUAGAGAUCGAGAGAGGCGAGUGGAAUACCGAGUGUAGAGGUGAAAUUCGUAGAUAUUCGGUGGAACACCAGUGGCGAAGGCGGCUCGCUGGCUCGAUACUGACGCUGAGGUGCAAAAGCGUGGGGAGCAAACAGGAUU
Molecule: ribosomal RNA, 392 nt
Filed under: uncultured Gammaproteobacteria bacterium
Lineage: Bacteria; Pseudomonadati; Pseudomonadota; Gammaproteobacteria
Description: bacterial SSU rRNA
Rfam family: Bacterial small subunit ribosomal RNA
Source: RNAcentral